This 253-nucleotide ribosomal RNA is filed under the name uncultured prokaryote. RNAcentral describes it as "partial 16S ribosomal RNA". It matches the Rfam family "Bacterial small subunit ribosomal RNA", at positions 524 to 776 of the family's 1533-position model. The record is from RNAcentral.
UACGGAGGGUGCGAGCGUUAUCCGGAAUUACUGGGUUUAAAGGGUGCGUAGGCGGCUAUGUAAGUCAGGAGUGAAAGUUUGCGGCUCAACCGUAAAAUUGCUUUUGAUACUGCAUGGCUAGAAUUAGGAUGAGGUCAGCGGAAUGUGGCGUGUAGCGGUGAAAUGCAUAGAUAUGACAUAGAACACCAAUUGCGUAGGCAGCUUACUACACGAUCAUUGACGCUGAGGCACGAAAGCGUGGGGAGCAAACAGG